This 661-nucleotide ribosomal RNA is filed under the name uncultured bacterium. RNAcentral's name for it is "bacterial SSU rRNA". It matches the Rfam family "Bacterial small subunit ribosomal RNA", at positions 94 to 788 of the family's 1533-position model. The record is from RNAcentral.
AGUGGCGAACGGGUGAGUAACGCGUGAGUAUCUGCCCUUAGGAGGGGGACAACAGUUGGAAACGACUGCUAAUACCCCACAUGUCUACGGAUGAAAGAUUUUAUCGCCUGAGGAUGAACUCGCGUCUGAUUAGCUAGUUGGUGAGGUAAUGGCUCACCAAGGCGACGAUCAGUAGCUGGUCUGAGAGGAUGAUCAGCCACACUGGGACUGAGACACGGCCCAGACUCCUACGGGAGGCAGCAGUGGGGAAUUUUCCGCAAUGGGGGCAACCCUGACGGAGCAAUACCGCGUGCGGGAGGACGGCCUGUGGGUUGUAAACCGCUUUUCUCAGGGAAGAAGACCUGACGGUACCUGAGGAAUCAGCAUCGGCUAACUCCGUGCCAGCAGCCGCGGUAAUACGGAGGAUGCAAGCGUUAUCCGGAAUUAUUGGGCGUAAAGCGUCCGUAGGUGGUUAAUCAAGUCUGCUGUUAAAGAGCGGAGCUUAACUCCGUUUAAGCGGUGGAAACUGGUUGACUAGAGAGUGGUAGGGGUAGAGGGAAUUCCCAGUGUAGCGGUGAAAUGCGUAGAUAUUGGGAAGAACACCGGUGGCGAAAGCGCUCUACUGGGCCACAUCUGACACUGAUGGACGAAAGCUAGGGGAGCGAAAGGGAUUAGAUACCCC